RNAcentral lists this ribosomal RNA (408 nucleotides) under uncultured bacterium. RNAcentral describes it as "partial 16S ribosomal RNA". It matches the Rfam family "Bacterial small subunit ribosomal RNA", at positions 28 to 526 of the family's 1533-position model. The record is from RNAcentral.
GACGAACGCUGGCGGCGUGCUUAACACAUGCAAGUCGAACGAAGUGGCGAACGGGUGAGUAAUACGUGAGUAACCUGCCCUCCUUUUUGGGAUAAGCCUUGGAAACGGGGUCUAAUACCGAAUAAAGGGGGAUGGGCUCGCGGCCUAUCAGCUUGUUGGUGGGGUGAUGGCCUACCAAGGCGGUGACGGGUAGCCGGGCUGGGAGGGUGAACGGCGAGAUCGGGACGGAGAUGCGGCCGAGACUGCCAAGGGAGGCAGCAGAGGGGACUCUUGCGCAAUGGACGAAAGGCUGACGGGGCAACUCCGGGGGAGUGAUGACGGCCUUCGGGGUGUAAAGCUUGGAUAAUCGGGACGCGGUACCGGAAGAGAAAGCCACGGCUAACUACGUGCCAGCAGCCGCGGUAAUUC